GACGAACGCUGGCGGCGUGCUUAACACAUGCAAGUCGUACGGUAAGGCCCUUUCGGGGGUACCCGAGUGGCGAACGGGUGCGUAACACGUGAGUAACCUGCCCACAACUUUGGGAUAACGCUAGGAAACUGGUGCUAAUACUGGAUAUGUGCUCCUGCUGCAUGGUGGGGGUUGGAAAGCUCCUGCGGUUUUGGAUGGACUCGCGGCCUAUCAGCUUGUUGGUGGGGUAGUGGCCUACCAAGGCGGCGACGGGUAGCCGGCCUGAGAGGGUGACCGGCCACAUUGGGACUGAGAUACGGCCCAGACGCCUACGGGAGGCAGCAGUGGGGAAUAUUGCACAAUGGGCGCAAGCCGGAUGCAGCAACGCCGCGUGCGGGAUGACGGCCUUCGGGUUGUAAACCGCUUUCAGCAGGGACGAAGCUUUUUGUGACGGUACCUGCAGAAGAAGCACCGGCUAACUACGUG
This 465-nucleotide ribosomal RNA is filed under the name uncultured bacterium. RNAcentral describes it as "partial 16S ribosomal RNA". It matches the Rfam family "Bacterial small subunit ribosomal RNA", at positions 28 to 507 of the family's 1533-position model. The record is from RNAcentral.